Scophthalmus maximus (turbot) is the source of this 191-nucleotide small nuclear RNA. Its record names the gene U2. It matches the Rfam family "U2 spliceosomal RNA". From Rfam's summary of the family: U2 is a small nuclear RNA (snRNA) component of the spliceosome (involved in pre-mRNA splicing). Complementary binding between U2 snRNA (in an area lying towards the 5' end but 3' to hairpin I) and the branchpoint sequence (BPS) of the intron results the bulging out of an unpaired adenosine, on the BPS, which initiates a nucleophilic attack at the intronic 5' splice site, thus starting the first of two transesterification reactions that mediate splicing. The record is from Ensembl. Lineage: Eukaryota; Metazoa; Chordata; Actinopteri; Pleuronectiformes; Scophthalmidae.
AUCGCUUCUCGGCCUUUUGGCUAAGAUCAAGUGUAGUAUCUGUUCUUAUCAGUUUAAUAUCUGAUACGUCCCCUACCCGGGGACCAUAUAUUAAAUUGAUUUUUGGAAUAGGGAGAUGGAAUAGGGGCUUGCUCCAUCCACUCCACGCAUCGACCUGGUAUUGCAGUACCUCCAGGAACGGUGCACCCCCC